GUGGGUGUCUUCUAAUGGUUAGGAAAUCUCGUUGUGGUUCCUCCCGGGACCGUGAAAAUGUCGGUUCGAUUCCGGCCACCCACA
Puccinia graminis f. sp. tritici is the source of this 84-nucleotide transfer RNA. It matches the Rfam family "tRNA". Rfam says of the family: Transfer RNA (tRNA) molecules are approximately 80 nucleotides in length. Their secondary structure includes four short double-helical elements and three loops (D, anti-codon, and T loops). Lineage: Eukaryota; Fungi; Basidiomycota; Pucciniomycetes; Pucciniales; Pucciniaceae. The record is from Rfam.